AGUAAAGAAGGGAAAUUGGCAAAUAAUAAUAAGACAGUACACCUAUAACAGUCGAAGCCCGGUUAGUAAGAUGUCAUCUGCAAUAUCAGAACUCAUCAAAGCUUAUAAUAAUAAAACUUGAAACAAUAGGUACUUGAAUGACCAGUCAGCUGAAGUAAGGAUGAGUAUGCAAGAAGGACAUGUUGUUCAGCCUUUUCGUGAGAUUUUCAAUUAAGCAGAAUUCAGAAUGCAAACACCAUGGUGCGGUCUAGCUAUUUCAGAUUUGCUUACCCAAAAGAUGGCAUUCAUAGAAUCAGAUUGAGCAACUACAUUCAGCAGAUAAUUGAAGUGCUUUGCGAAAAGAGCUAGAGUUUCAGGUAAAAUCAUCUUGAAGGUUGAUUCCAUGCAUGAUGACUGAAUAAAAGGAUUGAUUGUCAGAGUUUUUUUUUUUCACUCUAAUCAUCACAUUAUCCUGUUACUUGGCAUUUUUAAGUAGAGAUGGAAAGGGCAAGUUCUUCAUGUUUCCCGGGAAGCAAAUCAGGUUGGAGAUUUGCCGUACUUAUGAGCUGCAUAAUGCCUUUUUGCAGAGAUUAAAUAAUGCGUUUCCGGAGAUUAAACACCUUAUGGACAGAGACCAUUAGAGGAGGCUAAUGCUUGGCAUGUGUUGAGUUUUUCCUUGUUUUAUUUUCCUUUGUUUUCCAUUUUGUGUUCCUUUUUUUUGUAGUAUAAUAAUAAUAAUAAUAAUUGUCCGGUAAGUCUGAAUUGAGGAA
Long non-coding RNA from Ricinus communis (castor bean), 749 nucleotides. RefSeq lists it as uncharacterized. Lineage: Eukaryota; Viridiplantae; Streptophyta; Magnoliopsida; Malpighiales; Euphorbiaceae. The transcript is spliced from 2 exons. The record is from RefSeq and is a predicted model, not a curated record.